UGUUCUGGAAAGGUCUAUCUGGCUGACGUAGGGGCAGGCUGGGUACCGGAGUGGCUAGGGAAUGGGGCUGGGACCCCGGGGAGGGGAGGGAGAGGAGCAGGCGGGGCAGCAGGGAGCGUGGGGAGAGAGCCCGGCCCACCUGGGCUGGGGGCAGGAGGGAGGGGGAGGGCUCUUGGGAUCCGGCCAGGGUGGUCUCUGAGGCUGGUUGAGGGUCAGGAACACGACCAGGAAGGAAGGAGGCCCCUAUGUCCAGCGUGGGUCACCCCAAGGACUCGGCAGGAGGGGCCACCAUGCGAAUCCCAUGGGAUCACGCAGCACCUGCAACCCUGAGGCCCUUAAACUAGGACCCUGGAGUCCCGCCGCUUCGAGCCUGUCCUCCCAAGGCCCAUCGCGGAGGCAAAAUGUGCAGCGCGGAGCCCACGUGCACCCGACGCUUGGCAGGCGCCGAGGAAUCAGGGAGGCCACGAGUGACAUCAUCCGCUGCUGUUUACAGCUGAGCAAACACGCCGGGCUCAGCGAGGUGGCACGGUUGCCCAAGGUCACACAGCCCGGAGGAGCAGGGGGCCCACACCGGGGCGAUGCGACCUAGGGGCUAACCGGUGGAGGCUCCGACCGCCUGCCUGCCCCGCCCCGCGCACCCCGCCCACCCCCGUGGGCCUCGGGCGCCCGAAGCCACGUGAAGGCAGCCGAGGCUGCAGGAGCAGCGCAGGGCUCGUCACGGAAGGGGUUAACGCUCCCGCCGCAUUGGGCCGGCCUCCGUGGGAAGCAGCCAAUGGGCGCGUGGGGCGAAGAGGGUCUCGCACUGGAGCCUGGGUUGGCCUUGAACUUGUGGCGAUCCUCCUGCCUCAGCCCCCCCAAGUGCAGGAUGACUGGCAUGUGCCACCUCGCCUGGCUUCAAGCUCAGCUGUUAAAUGGGAAGAACAGAAGCUGCCCCUGGGCUGCGACAUCAGGCCGACCAGGUGCUUUUGGGGAGAGUGCCAUCUGGGGCACCCCAGGGAACAGCGGGUGCCACAAGGCACCUGCCCAGGGCUCCAUUUAGUGUUUUGGAGACGGAUUCCAGGUGUCCCGUUUGGGUGGGGGUGGGGAUGGAGCGCCUCGGGUAUAACACGCACAGGAGGGACCCUCCUGGUGACAGAAGUGGUCUGGACUUUGGCUGGGGUGAGGGUUGCCCUGGCCAGGAUCCCCUACAGGAAGCCACAUCCAGGCAGAAGUAAAGCAGAGGAGUCAGAGAGGUGGGGGUGGGUCAGUGCCACAUCCUGGAGUUGAGGGUGGCACUGCACUGCCAUGCACUGCAUCAUUUCUGACAGCCACAUGUGCAUCUACAGUGGUCUCCGGAAAACUUUCAGGCCAGGUGUGCUGAUGCACACUUGUAAUCCAAGCACUCAGGAGGCUGAGGCAGGAGGAUCAUUGUGAGUUCCAGCUGGAGCUACAUAGCAAGACCCUGUCUACAAAAAUAACAAAAAUAUGUACAAACAUAAGGUAUGACAUAAACUCCACAUAGCUCUUUUUUUUUUUUUCUGGAACCAGGGCUCGAACUCAGGUCCUUGUGGUUGCAAGGCAGGCGGCGGAACCACUGAACUAAAUCCCUGGCCCCACAUAGCUCUUACACAACCAUAAACCAAGGCAAAUUGAUCAGUCAAAUGCAAAAUCAAGCUGGGGAUGUAGCUCAGUGGUGCCGUGCCUGCCUGGCAAGCACACAGUUCUGAGUUCGAUCCCUAGUACCGAAAAAAAAAGCGAACUCAAUUCAAAUCAGAGUAAUCACAUGUGACAUGUUACUUCUUUUGUUUGAAACCCUGUCACUGCCCACAGUGUAGAUAUGGCCCAGCUGCCAGGGUGCUCUGAGUUGGUGAGAGAGUGGCUGGCCUUACACACACACACACGUGCACACGCAUACACACACACAGAGCAGGUGAUUUUUCCUCAGAAUACAUAAAGAAUUCCUACCAAUUAAUAAGAAAAAGGCAGACUUCUCGAGAAAAAUAGGGGGGAAACUUGAAUUAGUAAGUCUGGUGAUGCACCCCUGUCAUCCCAGCACUCAGGAGGCUGAGGCAGGAGGAUUGUAGUGAGUUUGAGGCCAGCCUGGGCUACAAAGUGAGACCCUGUCUCAAAACCAAACAGUUCUCCACAAGCAGGAUAUCCACAUGGUGCACCCCUGUGACCCCAGCACUCAGGAGGCUGAGGCAGGAGGAUCACAAGUGCAAGUUCAGCCUGGUAACUUAGUGACUUGGUGAGACUCUGUCUCAAAAUAAAAAAAAGGAAUGGGGAUGGGCCUCAGGGUGGGGGCCCACAGAAACCAAACAAGAAACCAGAAGUGAGCGGGGACAGUCACAUUGGCACUAUUCAGGGGAGUCCUACAUGAGAAGGAAUCAAUCCCAGUCCCUCUCCAUGGGACAGGCGAUAAACAAAGGUGGCUGGUCAGCUUUGAGAACAAAUCUCACAGUCAUAAUCCAAAGGAUUUCAUUUACCCGAGGGACAAAAGGAGCCAAGACAGUCGGGGUGUGAGAGAUCAGGGAGGGGUCGCCUGCCACCAGGCAGGAGGGGUGGUGCUCCAGGGCCCAAACGCCUGAGGUCAGGAGUCCCUGGAAACAGCUCUGUCCACAAGGCUCUGGGCCCCACUUCGAGCAGAUGUGGAGUGUGCCCUGGGGGCCCAGGUGUGGGGUGAGGGGAGCAGAAGGGAGGGCCAGGUCCCCGGUGCUCUUUCCCUGCCCAGCACUUGUAAUGUGGGCCUGACCCAGGCUUUUUCUGCCGCAGCCCCUGGGCCCGGCCUCUUCCCACACCAGAGCCUGCUGCCCACACUCAGGGUUCUCAGGGGAGCUGGAGGAAAGGCCUCAUCCACAUCCUGAGGCCAGGGCGGUAGGUGCCCAGCGAGAGUGGCUCUGGGGAACACAGGGUGCCUGGUGCCUUAGGCACCUUCCCUCCCUGGACUCAGUACCUGACGCCACAGUGUAAAGGAGAGAUUUAUAGGGGCCGGGGAUUUAGCUCAGUGGUUUUGCUGCCUGCUGCGCAAGCGCAAGGACCGGAGUUCAGUCCCCCGUACCAAAAAAAAAAAAAAAAAAAAAAAAAAGAAGAGGUUUAUUUUCGCUUGAGGUUUAUUUUCGCUUAUAGUUUCAGUCUGUGGGUGGCCAGUUCCAAGGCAGAGCAGCAGGGCAGAAGGGCCUGGUGGAGGACACAUGCUCACUUCCUGGCGGCCAGGAAGCAGGGAGAGAAGGGAGGAGCAGGGAGAACAGCCUCUUCCAGGCCACUCCCCCAGUGGCCACCUCCGCGGAGGCCCCACCUCCUUCACAGUAUACUCGGCUAUGACCUCAGGCAUGCAGGAAUCCAUCGAUGAGUCCAGCUCCAUUGAUCCCAUCCGCUUGCACCUUACACACACAGGAGAAUUCUGGGGGACACUUCAGAUCCAAAUGUAACACCCAAUUGGCCCCUGCUGCUGACCCCAGACAACCUCAGGAAAGUUCAGCUCAAGCCACGGUUUGGAGACCUGACUGUAGGUGUUGGACCCCCUACCCCUGCUGUGGGACAUGCGAAGGUGGGUGGGUCACUUCCUGCUCCUAAAAAGUGGCCACAACCCCAGGCAGCUGGCAGGGACCAACAUGUCACUGGCAUCCGGCACAGGCCGACUGGAUGGAUGCUGAGUUCUGGAGGGGAUGCUGUGUGGGCGGCCAGCUCAGUUACAAGCUUUAGAGAAAACAGGACUCAUACUAGAAAUAAGCUCAAAUACCUGGGUGUGGAAGGACAUGCCUAUAAUCCUAGCACUCAGGAGGCUGAGGCAGGAGAGUCGGUGUGAGUUCAAGACCAGCCAGGCUCCACAGCGAGGCCUUGUCUCAGAAAAAGAAAACGCUAAGAAAAAUAAAACUGGCAUUUGUAUGUAUUCGCAUUUUACUAUUCCUUGUAUGUUUUGUCUAUAAACCUGAAAUUUUUCCUUUAACCUAAUGACCUUUAUUUAGUAUUUAUGCUUCAGUUCUGUUAACAAAUUAUCUAUUUCAUUUGUCCAAAAAAGUAAUUUCUAUUUUGAAAGAUAUUUUCACAGAUACCAUUCUAAGAUGACAAUUUUUUCUUUUAUUACUUAUUAGAUGCAGUUCCAUUGUCUUCUGACUUGCAUUGUUUUAGUAGAAGUUUGUAGUCUUCUGCUUUUUUUUUGGUUUUCUUAUUUCUAAUUGUCUUUUUAAAUUUUCCUCAGCUGCUUUUCAG
Molecule: long non-coding RNA, 4188 nt
Organism: Heterocephalus glaber (naked mole-rat)
Lineage: Eukaryota; Metazoa; Chordata; Mammalia; Rodentia; Bathyergidae
Source: Ensembl